AACUGCAGUAGUGUUUACAAUUAAUUGAUCACAACCAGUUACAGACUUCUUUGUCCUUCUCCACGCCCACUGCUUCACUU
This 80-nucleotide small RNA is filed under the name Carlito syrichta (Philippine tarsier). RNAcentral describes it as "Y RNA (ENSTSYG00000036138.1)". The record is from RNAcentral. Lineage: Eukaryota; Metazoa; Chordata; Mammalia; Primates; Tarsiidae.